UACGGAGGGGGCUAGCGUUGUUCGGAAAUACUGGGCGUAAAGCGCACGUAGGCGGCGCCGCAAGUCAGGGGUGAAAUCCCGGGGCUCAACCCCGGAACUGCCCUUGAAACUGCAGUGCUAGAAUCUUGGAGAGGCGAGUGGAAUUCCGAGUGUAGAGGUGAAAUUCGUAGAUAUUCGGAAGAACACCAGUGGCGAAGGCGACUCGCUGGACAAGUAUUGACGCUGAGGUGCGAAAGCGUGGGGAGCAAACAGG
This 253-nucleotide ribosomal RNA is filed under the name uncultured bacterium. RNAcentral describes it as "partial 16S ribosomal RNA". It matches the Rfam family "Bacterial small subunit ribosomal RNA", at positions 524 to 776 of the family's 1533-position model. The record is from RNAcentral.